AUACGGAGGGUGCAAGCGUUACUCGGAAUCACUGGGCGUAAAGGACGCGUAGGCGGGAUAGUAAGUCUGAUGUGAAAUCCUAUGGCUCAACCAUAGAACUGCAUUGGAAACUACUGACCUAGAGUAUGGGAGGGGGAGAUGGAAUUAGUAGUGUAGGGGUAAAAUCCGUAGAUAUUACUAGGAAUACCGAAAGCGAAGGCGAUCUCCUGGAACAAUACUGACGCUAAGGCGUGAAAGCGUGGGGAGCAAACAGGAUUAGAAACCCUAGUAGUCC
RNAcentral lists this ribosomal RNA (274 nucleotides) under uncultured bacterium. RNAcentral describes it as "partial 16S ribosomal RNA". It matches the Rfam family "Bacterial small subunit ribosomal RNA", at positions 523 to 796 of the family's 1533-position model. The record is from RNAcentral.